Molecule: long non-coding RNA, 769 nt
Organism: Thalassophryne amazonica
Lineage: Eukaryota; Metazoa; Chordata; Actinopteri; Batrachoidiformes; Batrachoididae
Exons: 2
Source: RefSeq, a predicted model, not a curated record
GUUUGGUACACAGUGGAGCGUGGCAGCGGCUCCUCCCCCUCCGACCUGAAUGAAGACCAACGAGAGUCACUUCUUGGCUGUGGUGUUAAACUAAACUGCGAAACUGGAACAACAGUACACACGGUUUUCCUCGAUGUUUUGGGCUAGGAGCUGAGGUGCAACACCGACAUGAAGGCCGCCUUUAUCAAGCGCUCCGUUGACGAGCUGUUCAGCUGCAGCUAAGUCAGCUAACGCGCUCAGUCACAAGUUGGUGAUUAACGCUGGCUAGCUAUUUUGCGACGAUUUAGCGCUAACGCUAACUAGCAGGGCUCGUUGAUAUUCGACGCCAGUUUCAAAUUAAAGGCUGCGUGACCGACAGCUGUCAUCUCGAUUACAAGAAGACAGCUGACUCGACUGAAGCCUUUUUUUAAAUAAAUACUUUUAAAAAGAUUGGGUCUAAUGUUUGGUUGAUGCCUAAUUAAUUAGACUCGGUGACAUUAAGUUAAAUAAACUGUCGUCGGGGCUGUGACGUGUUUAAACUAAUCCGUACAGCCGUAAAUAAGAUUGUUUGUGUGACAAGAUCUCAUUUGGGUUUAAAUGUCAGAAAAGAGUUCAUCGUCCGGUUCGGAUGAGGAUGUGGAUCCAGAGUCCGGACAGCCUGAGGAGCUGGGAGGUGUUUUAAGUAAGUGGACGAACUACAUACACGGAUGGCAGGACCGAUGGGUUGUGUUAAAAAACAACACACUGAGCUAUUACAAGUCGGAGGAUGAGCGGGAGUAUGGCUGCAGGG